RNAcentral lists this ribosomal RNA (426 nucleotides) under uncultured bacterium. Its description in RNAcentral is "bacterial SSU rRNA". It matches the Rfam family "Bacterial small subunit ribosomal RNA", at positions 506 to 930 of the family's 1533-position model. The record is from RNAcentral.
GGCCAGCAGCCGCGGUAAUACGAAGGUGGCAAGCGUUGUUCGGAAUCACUGGGCUUAAAGAGUACGUAGGCGGCCCAUCAAGUGCUUUGUGAAAUCCCCCGGCUCAACCGGGGAAUUGCUGAGCAUACUGUAGGGCUUGAGGCAGGUAGGGGCGCGUGGAACUCUUGGUGGAGCGGUGGAAUGCGUAGAUAUCAAGAGGAACGCCGGUGGCGAAAGCGAUGCGCUGGGCCUGUCCUGACGCUGAGGUACGAAAGCUAGGGGAGCAAACGGGAUUAGAUACCCCGGUAGUCCUAGCCAUAAACUAUGUCUACUAGGUCGGAGUCACUCUGACGUGUUUCCGGCCAAAACAAAAGCAUUAAGUAGACCGCCUGGGGAGUACGGUCGCAAGGCUAAAACUCAAAGGAAUUGACGGGGGCCCGCACAAGC